GUUCAUGUUGUUUCAUGUUGUGAGGUGGGUUCUUAACUUUAUUAGCUUUAGCUACUAUUGUUGAGUUAUGUUGAGAGAUAAGUCUAUAGUGUCCCUUACAUAAUAAAGUUAUAACUGUUGGAACCUCUGUUUCUUGUACAAAAUGAAUAGGCUGACUUUUUCGGUGGUUAAUGGUUGUCGUUGCCAGAUUAAUAGUUUGUUGGAAAGUUUGCAACGAGCAUUAUAUAUAUAUAUAUAUAUAUUUUUUUUUUGAAAGAAUAUUAAAUUUUAUUUCUAAAAAAAACCUUUAUACAAUGAAUGCAUCCCCUUAUCUAAAACUUAUUUCUAUACCUUCACAUAUACAUACGAGUUCCAAACCAAACUUGUAAAGAACUUUCUAUUCCCUUCACACACCUAGAUCUUAACAAGCUGAACUUGUUUCUCACAUUCUUAUCAACCAGCUUCUUCAAAACAUUCACUGGGAUCAGCUUCUCAUCAUGUUUCACUUUGUUCCUCUCUCUCUCCAUAUUACAUAUAAUGCAGUUAGAAAAGCAUACCGAAGACAUAAUAGCUUCAUUUUCACAAGAUUCCCUCCAGUAGUGAUUCUAUUCAUGAUCUCAGACCAAGAAUUUGAGAACGAAAAUAGAGACAGAACAUGUGUUCAUGUUGUUUCAUGUUGUGAGGUGGGUUCUUAACUUUAUUAGCUUUAGCUACUAUUGUUGAGUUAUGUUGAGAGAUAAGUCUAUAGUGUCCCUUACAUAAUAAAGUUAUAACUGUUGGAACCUCUGUUUCUUGUACAAAAUGAAUAGGCUGACUUUUUCGGUGGUUAAUGGUUGUCGUUGCCAGAUUAAUAGUUUGUUGGAAAGUUUGCAACGAGC
RNAcentral lists this long non-coding RNA (857 nucleotides) under Brassica napus (rape). RNAcentral describes it as "long non-coding RNA (BNAP_LNC008771)". The record is from RNAcentral. Lineage: Eukaryota; Viridiplantae; Streptophyta; Magnoliopsida; Brassicales; Brassicaceae.